CUCAUGGCUGUGAUAGCUUCUGUGCCUGCUUGUUCCCAGCUUUGCUCCUGCCUAGUUCCAGUCCUGCUCCUGCUUAGUUCCAGCCUUGCUGCACUCCAGGAGUGGAGCAUAACUACAAGUCUGACAGUCAGGACGGCCACCAGGGGAGAAGCACUGUGACCCUCACCUAGACACCGUUGAGGAGACAGAGGAGCACCCAGCAAUGAGUGAACUAUUUGACUAAGAACAUUGUGGGGUUAAGCCAUCUCCAUCCUUACAUCUGCUCCUGCCCAGAAGGUCCUGAGACCUCAGAAGGAUGCCUCAAAAGUCCAAAAGGGGCUGCUACACCAGGAACUUCCCAAACUCCAGAUGUGAACACUUAGGGCCAAGUCAUACAAGCUGACUUCAGUAGGAAGAUAUAAAGUUUGCCUUUGCAUUCCCUCAGUCUUUGGAUGGCCAUAUGUUUGGACAAUCUUCUGGAGGCUGCUCUAAGUUACCCCGCCUGCCAAGAGCUGGAAGAGGACAAUAUGGCAGCAAGGGAUCAGUGGGCCAUAAGGGACCACUGGCCUUGCAUGUUUUCUCCCAGCAAUGUCCUUUAUGCUGAUAACAGGCACAGGAUGUCAUGUAAGAAUCAGAAUGCCAGCACUACACCAAU
Mauremys mutica (yellowpond turtle) is the source of this 634-nucleotide long non-coding RNA. RefSeq lists it as uncharacterized. The transcript is spliced from 3 exons. The record is from RefSeq and is a predicted model, not a curated record. NCBI's taxonomy places the organism in Eukaryota, Metazoa, Chordata, Testudines, Geoemydidae.